Molecule: ribosomal RNA, 253 nt
Filed under: uncultured bacterium
Lineage: Bacteria
Description: partial 16S ribosomal RNA
Rfam family: Bacterial small subunit ribosomal RNA
Source: RNAcentral
UACGUAGGGUGCGAGCGUUAAUCGGAAUUACUGGGCGUAAAGGGUGCGCAGGCGGUCCCGCAAGGCAGGCGUGAAAUCCCCGGGCUUAACCUGGGAAUGGCACUUGAAACUACGGGACUGGAGUGUGGCAGAGGGAGGUGGAAUUCCACGUGUAGCGGUGAAAUGCGUAGAUAUGUGGAGGAACACCAAUGGCGAAGGCAGCCUUCUGGGCCAACACUGACGCUCAUGCACGAAAGCGUGGGGAGCAAACAGG